GACGUUCAAAUGUGUGGUCCAUUUGUGAACUGGCGUUGUUCAGUCUCGGCUGUAGCAAAGGGCUAAUGUAUUUCAGAAGAAAGAGUGAGAUGCCCUGAAAAAUUCUCGUCAAGGAACUUCAUGGAAGAGAGUUUAUUUCGGGUAUAUUGAGGGCAACACAGUGCGGGAUUUUUAAACACCGUCUAUAACACUUCUUAACGAUUGGAGGAUUGGAACGAGGAAUUCAACAGAUAGCUGUCGCAGAAUUUUGAGCAACCUCUUUCUUCAAAAUCUCAAUUUGGACCCCAUGACCCCCUCCCCAUGACAAAUCAAUCCUAGAAUAUCCAAGGAUCAUACAAUUAAUUGCAGGUGCUGUCCGAAGUAAAUUCCCUGACUUCACACAAGCAUUAGUAGGAGAUUAUGUAAAAAAGUGGCUGAGAUAUGUUGGAGACGGAGAAGUUGAUAGAGAGGAAAGAAGAAGAAUUCUGAAGAAUAAUGCUGAAUGAAAUAAAUUUUGCAAUGCUAUCAUAUUAUUACUACUAUUUAAAAUACUAUUGGUAAA
Parasteatoda tepidariorum (common house spider) is the source of this 541-nucleotide long non-coding RNA. RefSeq lists it as uncharacterized. Lineage: Eukaryota; Metazoa; Arthropoda; Arachnida; Araneae; Theridiidae. The record is from RefSeq and is a predicted model, not a curated record.